GAGGAGGACCUCAUGAAGAAGUUGCUGACCAUUGCGAUCCUGGCCGCUGCCGCCGUUGCAGUACCGCUGGUGGUGGCGCAGAACGCCGGCCAGCCGGCCCCGCAGCAGGGUAGCCAGGCCGACAAGGCGCAGGCCGAAGCCGAUGCCAAGGCCAAGCGCCGUGCCCAGGCCAAUGCCGAAAUGAAGGCGCAGGGCCAGCCGGCCCCGCAGCAGGAAGAGGAAGAAGAGGCGCGGAAGAAGAAGUAACGCUUCCGCCCUCUGAAGCCCUUGCCGCAAGGGAUUCGCCCCCCGACGCCCCGCUCAGCGGGGCGUUUUAUUUGG
Molecule: small RNA, 321 nt
Filed under: Stenotrophomonas maltophilia
Lineage: Bacteria; Pseudomonadati; Pseudomonadota; Gammaproteobacteria; Lysobacterales; Lysobacteraceae
Description: Proteobacterial sRNA sX6
Rfam family: Proteobacterial sRNA sX6
Source: RNAcentral